RNAcentral lists this ribosomal RNA (773 nucleotides) under uncultured Neocallimastigales. RNAcentral's name for it is "partial large subunit ribosomal RNA". It matches the Rfam family "Eukaryotic large subunit ribosomal RNA", at positions 24 to 633 of the family's 3401-position model. Lineage: Eukaryota; Fungi; Neocallimastigomycota; Neocallimastigomycetes; Neocallimastigales. The record is from RNAcentral.
AUGUGAUCGUCUCUCGCAUAUCAAUAAGCGGAGGAAAAGAAACUAACAAGGAUUCCCCUAGUAACGGCGAGUGAAGCGGGAAGAGCUCAAAUUUGAAAUCUUAAAGGGUUUCCCUUUACGAAUUGUAGUUUAAAGAAGUGUUUUCUGUUGAGGUUUUGGUAAAAGUUCUUUGGAAUAGGACAUCAUAGAGGGUGAGAAUCCCGUAUUUGACCUUUACUUUCAACUUUGUGAUACACUUUCAAAGAGUCGGAUUGUUUGGGAAUGCAGUCCAAAAUGGGUGGUAAAUUUCAUCUAAAGCUAAAUAUUGGCGAGAGACCGAUAGCGAACAAGUACCGUGAGGGAAAGAUGAAAAGAACUUUGAAAAGAGAGUUAAACAGUACGUGAAAUUGUCAAAAGGGAAGCGUUUGACACCAGUGUUGUUUUUCUGAAAAUCAAUUAAAGAACUGUUUAUGCUAAGCUGUUUAGACUUUAUCAGCUAACUGUUUAGUUUUGAGCUUUUCUUUAAUGCACUUUUCAGUUAACAAGUCAACAUCAAUUUCUUUUGCUGUAAAAAGGCUUGAGGAAGGUGGCUUGAGAUUCGUCUUAAGUGUUUAUAGCCUCUUGCCUAUGCAGUCGGAGAGAUUGAGGUCUGCAGCGUAGAUCCUUCGGGGCUAAAUGCAUUUGUGCUAAGUUAUAGCAUUUUAUAGACAACUUGUUGACUAUGAUUUGUCUUGUAGCUUACUCGCUUAUGUUAUUUUACCUACGCUUAGGAUGUUGAAGACUCUACAGAGAUA